CCCUUAGAUGUUCUGGGCCGCACGCGCGCUACACUGACGGAGGCAGCGAGCGUGUCCUUCGCCGGCAGGUGCGGGCAAUCUUGCGAGUCUCCGUCGUGCUGGGGAUAGAUGGUUGCAAUUGUCGAUCUUGAACGAGGAAUUCCUAGUAAGCGCGAGUCAUCAGCUCGCGCUGAUUACGUCCCUGCCCUUUGUACACACCGCCCGUCGCUACUACAGAGUGCCCGUGUCCAAGAAACGGUCGGACCUGUGCGGCCUCUCCGGGCGACCGGAGGGCCGUUACGGGGAAGGCCCUUUAUUUGACGCGGGUCGAUGAAGUAAAAGUCGUAACA
RNAcentral lists this ribosomal RNA (329 nucleotides) under uncultured eukaryote. Its description in RNAcentral is "partial 18S ribosomal RNA". It matches the Rfam family "Eukaryotic small subunit ribosomal RNA", at positions 1470 to 1796 of the family's 1831-position model. The record is from RNAcentral.